GAGUGAAGCGGCAACAGCUCAAAUUUGAAAUCUGGCUCUUUUAGAGUCCGAGUUGUAAUUUGCAGAGGGCGCUUUGGCUUUGGCAGCGGUCCAAGUUCCUUGGAACAGGACGUCACAGAGGGUGAGAAUCCCGUACGUGGUCGCUGGCUAUUGCCCGUGUAAAAGCCCCCUUCGACGAGUUCGAGUUGUUUGGGAAAUGCAGCUUCUAAAUGGGAGGGUACAUUUCUUCUAAAGCUAAAUAUUGGCCAGAGACCGAUAGCGCACAAGUAGAGUGAUCGAAAGAUGAAAAGCACUUUGGAAAGAGAGUCAAACAGCACGUGAAAUUGUUAAAAGGGAAGCGCUUGCAGCCAGACUUGCUUGCAGUUGCUCAUCCGGGCUUUUGCCCGGUGCACUCUUCUGUAGGCAGGCCAGCAUCAGUUUGGGCGGUAGGAUAAAGGUCUCUGUCACGUACCUCCUCUCGGGGAGGCCUUAUAGGGGAGACGACAUACUACCAGCCUGGACUGAGGUCCGCGCAUCUGCUAGGAUGCUGGCGUAAUGGCUGUAAGCGGCCCGUCUUGAAACACGGACCAAGGAGUCUAACAUCUAUGCGAGUGUUUGGGUGUCAAGCCCGAGCGCGUAAUGAAAGUGAACGGAGGUGGGAACCCGCAAGGGUGCACCAUCGACCGAUCCUGAUGUCUUCGGAAGGAUUUGAGUAAGAGCAUGGCUGUUGGGACCCGAAAGAUGGUGAACUAUGCUUGAAUAGGGUGAAGCCAGAGGAAACUCUGGUGGAGGCUCGCAGCGGUUCUGACGUGCAAAUCGAUCGUCAAAUUUGGGCAUAGGGGCGAAAGACUAAUCGAACUAUCUAGUAGCUGGUUCCUGCCGAAGUUUCCCUCAGGAUAGCAGUAACGUAUUCAGUUUUAUGAGGUAAAGCGAAUGAUUAGAGGCCUGGGGGGUUGAAACAACCUUCACCUAUUCUCAAACUUUAAAUAUGUAAGAAGUC
This 979-nucleotide ribosomal RNA is filed under the name Alternaria kareliniae. RNAcentral describes it as "eukaryotic LSU rRNA". It matches the Rfam family "Eukaryotic large subunit ribosomal RNA", at positions 91 to 1082 of the family's 3401-position model. The record is from RNAcentral. Lineage: Eukaryota; Fungi; Ascomycota; Dothideomycetes; Pleosporales; Pleosporaceae.